CAGCCGCCGCGGGAAUACGAAGGGUGCAAGCGUUAAUCGGAAUUACUGGCGUAAAGCGUGCGUAGGCGGUGAGUUAAGUCUGUUGUGAAAUCCCCGGGCUCAACCUGGGAAUGGCAGUGGAUACUGGCUCGCUAGAGUGUGUCAGAGGAUGGUGGAAUUCCCGGUGUAGCGGUGAAAUGCGUAGAGAUCGGGAGGAACAUCAGUGGCGAAGGCGGCCAUCUGGGACAACACUGACGCUGAGGCACGAAAGCGUGGGGGGCAAACAGGAUUAGAUACCCCCGUAGUCCCUGUCUCUUAUACA
RNAcentral lists this ribosomal RNA (301 nucleotides) under uncultured bacterium. Its description in RNAcentral is "partial 16S ribosomal RNA". It matches the Rfam family "Bacterial small subunit ribosomal RNA", at positions 509 to 808 of the family's 1533-position model. The record is from RNAcentral.